GCGCUGCAUUAGCUAGUUGGUAAGGUAACGGCUUACCAAGGCAACGAUGCAUAGCCGACCUGAGAGGGUGAUCGGCCACACUGGAACUGAGACACGGUCCAGACUCCUACGGGAGGCAGCAGUAGGGAAUCUUCCGCAAUGGGCGAAAGCCUGACGGAGCAACGCCGCGUGAGUGAUGAAGGUCUUCGGAUCGUAAAACUCUGUUAUUAGGGAAGAACAUAUGUGUAAGUAACUGUGCACAUCUUGACGGUACCUAAUCAGAAAGCCACGGCUAACUACGUGCCAGCAGCCGCGGUAAUACGUAGGUGGCAAGCGUUAUCCGGAAUUAUUGGGCGUAAAGCGCGCGUAGGCGGUUUUUUAAGUCUGAUGUGAAAGCCCACGGCUCAACCGUGGAGGGUCAUUGGAAACUGGAAAACUUGAGUGCAGAAGAGGAAAGUGGAAUUCCAUGUGUAGCGGUGAAAUGCGCAGAGAUAUGGAGGAACA
This 483-nucleotide ribosomal RNA is filed under the name Staphylococcus aureus. RNAcentral describes it as "bacterial SSU rRNA". It matches the Rfam family "Bacterial small subunit ribosomal RNA", at positions 233 to 708 of the family's 1533-position model. Lineage: Bacteria; Bacillati; Bacillota; Bacilli; Caryophanales; Staphylococcaceae. The record is from RNAcentral.